GAUGAACGCUGGCGGCGUGCUUAAUACAUGCAAGUCGAACGAAGCACCUUGGACAGAAUCCUUCGGGAGGAAGACCAUUGUGACUGAGUGGCGGACGGGUGAGUAACGCGUGGGUAACCUGCCUUGUACAGGGGGAUAACAGUUGGAAACGACUGCUAAUACCGCAUAAGCGCACAGUACCGCAUGGUGCGGUGUGAAAAACUCCGGUGGUACAAGAUGGACCCGCGUCUGAUUAGCUGGUUGGUGAGGUAACGGCCCACCAAGGCGACGAUCAGUAGCCGACUUGAGAGAGUGAUCGGCCACAUUGGGACUGAGACACGGCCCAAACUCCUACGGGAGGCAGCAGUAGGGAAUAUUGCACAAUGGGGGAAACCCUGAUGCAGCGACGCCGCGUGAAGGAAGAAGUAUUUCGGUAUGUAAACUUCUAUCAGCAAGGAAGAAAAUGACGGUACU
Molecule: ribosomal RNA, 453 nt
Filed under: uncultured bacterium
Lineage: Bacteria
Description: bacterial SSU rRNA
Rfam family: Bacterial small subunit ribosomal RNA
Source: RNAcentral